GGGGGUGUAGCUCACUUGGUAAAGCAUUUGCCUGCCAUGCAUAAGGUCCUGGGUUCGACCCCCAGUGCUGAUA
RNAcentral lists this transfer RNA (73 nucleotides) under Neotoma lepida (desert woodrat). It matches the Rfam family "tRNA". From Rfam's summary of the family: Transfer RNA (tRNA) molecules are approximately 80 nucleotides in length. Their secondary structure includes four short double-helical elements and three loops (D, anti-codon, and T loops). Further hydrogen bonds mediate the characteristic L-shaped molecular structure. tRNAs have two regions of fundamental functional importance: the anti-codon, which is responsible for specific mRNA codon recognition, and the 3' end, to which the tRNAs corresponding amino acid is attached (by aminoacyl-tRNA synthetases). tRNAs cope with the degeneracy of the genetic code in two manners: having more than one tRNA (with a specific anti-codon) for a particular amino acid; and 'wobble' base-pairing, i.e. permitting non-standard base-pairing at the 3rd anti-codon position. Lineage: Eukaryota; Metazoa; Chordata; Mammalia; Rodentia; Cricetidae. The record is from Rfam by way of RNAcentral.